RNAcentral lists this long non-coding RNA (650 nucleotides) under Anser brachyrhynchus (Pink-footed goose). RNAcentral's name for it is "lncRNA (ENSABRG00000010839.1)". The record is from RNAcentral. Lineage: Eukaryota; Metazoa; Chordata; Aves; Anseriformes; Anatidae.
GGGAGCCAGGACCCAAGCUGUUUCAGGAUGUUUCUGGUCAUCCGUGAACUAUCUACAUCUCAAUUCCCUCCUUGGGGCAAUGUGAUUUGAGGGAAGUGUAAAAGCAACAGGAGGAGCACUUGCAAUCAGCCCCAUCCUCCACGCAGAUUGCUGGCUUGAUUACGGUAUUUAAGGACUUUCCUGGGCAAAAAGUUGCAGGCACUAAAGGCUGAGCAGACCUGAGUAGACUGAUCUACUCGUACAACAUCACCCAUCAGGACACCAUGAGUAUUGUUCAGAAGUGCUGCUCUGAACUGCACUGAAUCAUCCAUGAAAAAAAUAAAACCAGAAAACACAAGAAAAUGGUAAAACAAAUUACCAGCUGGAAACAGAAAUUAAAAUUAUGAAGGGAACCUUCCUGCUCUCCCACCAUCCUUCCAAAUUACUCUCAACACUGCAGAAUAAAUAAGCGUAGAAGAUGUAAUCAUAUCUACACCAAAACAUUGUGGUAACACUACGUAUAGGAAAUACAAAAACCUUAAUCAGACAAGGCAGAGAGAAGGAAGAGAAGAUGAUAUCAAAGACUGGAUGACCUCAAAAGUCCCCCUCCAACCUGAACGAUCCUGUGAUCCCAAAAAGACAAUCCACCUUAAUUUAAUAGAAGUUGAGCU